This 81-nucleotide transfer RNA is filed under the name Juglanconis oblonga. RNAcentral describes it as "tRNA-Leu". The record is from RNAcentral. Lineage: Eukaryota; Fungi; Ascomycota; Sordariomycetes; Diaporthales; Juglanconidaceae.
AUCUGAGUGCUGGAAUUGGUAGACAGAGGGCACUUAAAAUGCCCCGAUUAAAUCGUAGGUGUUCAAGUCACCUCUCAGAUA